RNAcentral lists this ribosomal RNA (658 nucleotides) under uncultured archaeon. Its description in RNAcentral is "bacterial SSU rRNA". It matches the Rfam family "Archaeal small subunit ribosomal RNA", at positions 10 to 676 of the family's 1478-position model. The record is from RNAcentral.
GAUCCCGCCGGACCCGACUGCUAUCAGAGUGAGAUUAAGCCAUGCGAGUCAACGUAGCAAUACGUGGCAUACGGCUCAGUAACACGUAGUCAACAUAACCAAAGGACGUGGAUAAACUCGGGAAACUGAGGCUAAACCGCGAUAGAUCAAGAUACCUGGAAUGGUUUUUGAUCAAAAUCUAUAUGGCCUUUGGAUUGGACUGCGUCCGAUCAGGCUGUUGGUGAGGUAAUGGCCCACCAAACCUAUAACCGGUACGGGCUCUGAGAGGAGGAGCCCGGAGAUGGGUACUGAGAUAAGGACCCAGGCCCUAUGGGGCGCAGCAGGCGCGAAACCUCUGCAAUAGGCGAAAGCUUGACAGGGUUAUUCUGAGUGACUUUCGUUAAGAAAGUCUUUUGACACCUCUAAAAAUGGUGUAGAAUAAGGGGUGGGCAAGUCUGGUGUCAGCCGCCGCGGUAAUACCAGCACCCCGAGUGGUCGGGACGAUUAUUGGGCCUAAAGCAUCCGUAGCCGGCCUUACAAGUCCUCCGUUAAAUCCAGCUGCUUAACAGAUGGGCUGCGGAGGAUACUAUAAGACUAGGAGGCAGGAGAGGCAAGCGGUACUCAAUGGGUAGGGGUAAAAUCCGUUGAUCCAUUGAAGACCACCAGUGGCGAAGGCGGC